This 253-nucleotide ribosomal RNA is filed under the name uncultured bacterium. RNAcentral describes it as "partial 16S ribosomal RNA". It matches the Rfam family "Bacterial small subunit ribosomal RNA", at positions 524 to 776 of the family's 1533-position model. The record is from RNAcentral.
UACGAAGGGGGCGAGCGUUGUUCGGAUUUACUGGGCGUAAAGGGCGCGCAGGCGGCUUUGUUUGUCAGGCGUGAAAGCCCCGGGCUUAACCUGGGAACUGCGUUUGAUACGGCAGGGCUAGAGUUCGGGAGAGGAGAGUGGAAUUCCCAGUGUAGAGGUGAAAUUCGUAGAUAUUGGGAAGAACACCGGUGGCGAAGGCGGGUCUCUGGGCCGUAACUGACGCUGAGGAGCGAAAGCGUGGGGAGCGAACAGG